RNAcentral lists this ribosomal RNA (781 nucleotides) under uncultured bacterium. RNAcentral describes it as "bacterial SSU rRNA". It matches the Rfam family "Bacterial small subunit ribosomal RNA", at positions 712 to 1504 of the family's 1533-position model. The record is from RNAcentral.
AUUGCGAAGGCAGCUUUCUGGAUCAUUACUGACACUGAGGAACGAAAGCAUGGGUAGCGAAGAGGAUUAGAUACCCUCGUAGUCCAUGCCGUAAACGAUGUGUGUUAGACGUUGGAAAUUUAUUUUCAGUGUCGCAGCGAAAGCGAUAAACACACCGCCUGGGGAGUACGACCGCAAGGUUAAAACUCAAAUGAAUUGACGGGGACCCGCACAAGUAGUGGAGCAUGUGGUUUAAUUCGAAGAUACGCGCAGAACCUUACCAACACUUGACAUGUUCGUCGCGACUCUAAGAGAUUAGAGUUUUCGGUUCGGCCGGACGAAACACAGGUGCUGCAUGGCUGUCGUCAGCUCGUGUCGUGAGAUGUUGGGUUAAGUCCCGCAACGAGCGCAACCCUCACUUUUAGUUGCCAUCAUUAAGUUGGGCACUCUGAAAGAACUGCCAGUGAUAAGCUGGAGGAAGGUGGGGAUGACGUCAAGUCCUCAUGGCCCUUACGUGUUGGGCUACACACGUGCUACAAUGGUAUCUACAACAGGAAGCAAAACGGCAACGUUAAGCAAAUCCCGAAAAGAUGCCUCAGUUCGGAUUGCACUCUGCAACUCGAGUGCAUGAAGCUGGAAUUACUAGUAAUCGUGGAUCAGCGUGCCACGGUGAAUGCGUUCCCGGGUCUUGUACACACCGCCCGUCACACCAUGGGAGUUGGUUCUACCUUAAGGCAAGGUUUUAAACCCUUGACCACGGUAUAGUCAGCGACUGGGGUGAAGUCGUAACAAGGUAGCCGUA